ACCCGCACAAGCAGCGAGCAUGUGGUUUAAUUCGAAGCAACGCGAAGAACCUUACCAGAUCUUGACAUCCAAUUGACCAUCUUUUAAUCGUAGAUUUUUGCCUUCGGGUACAAUUGAGACAGGUGGUGCAUGGUUGUCGUCAGCUCGUGUCGUGAGAUGUUGGGUAAGUCCCGCAACGAGCGCAACCCUUGUGUUUAGUUGCAAACAGGUCAAGCUGUGCACUCUAGACAGACUGCCGUGGACAACACGGAGGAAGUGGGGAUGACGUCAAAUCAUCAUGCCCCUUAUGAUCUGGGCUACACACGUGCUACAAUGGCCGGUACAACGGGCAGCGAAGGAGCGAUCCGGAGCGAAUCCUAAAAAGCCGGUCCCAGUUCGGAUUGCAGGCUGAAACUCGCCUACAUGAAGUUGGAGUUGCUAGUAAUCGCGAAUCAGAAUGUCGCGGUGAAUGCGUUCCCGGGCCUU
RNAcentral lists this ribosomal RNA (465 nucleotides) under uncultured Fusibacter sp. RNAcentral describes it as "bacterial SSU rRNA". It matches the Rfam family "Bacterial small subunit ribosomal RNA", at positions 919 to 1382 of the family's 1533-position model. The record is from RNAcentral. Lineage: Bacteria; Bacillati; Bacillota; Clostridia; Eubacteriales; Fusibacteraceae.